This is a small nuclear RNA of Myodes glareolus (Bank vole), 106 nucleotides long. Lineage: Eukaryota; Metazoa; Chordata; Mammalia; Rodentia; Cricetidae. The record is from RefSeq and is a predicted model, not a curated record.
GUGCUCACUCAGCAGCACAUACACUAAAAUUGGAAUGAUACAUUGAGGGGUAGCAUGGCCCCUGUGCAAGGAUGGCAUGUAAAUUUGUGAAGCAUUCCAUAUUAAA